Non-coding RNA from Prunus avium (sweet cherry), 534 nucleotides. The record is from RefSeq and is a predicted model, not a curated record. Lineage: Eukaryota; Viridiplantae; Streptophyta; Magnoliopsida; Rosales; Rosaceae.
GUUCUACACCUUAGCAAGAGUAUGGCUUUAUGAUUUGUGAUUUAGCUUGUUAUUUACUACCUGUGAAAAGUUGCAAAUUUGAACAUAGGUCUGAGGCAUUCCUAGUUAGUAGCUGACUGAAUCUCCACUUGUAAUAAAGUAAAUUUUUAUUUUUAUUUGCCGAAUUAUUUCGUUGCUCCAUUGCUUUUAUGAAUUACAGAUGGUUAUCCAAAGGGGAAAUUCAAAUGUUUUUGUAGUUCUUGGCAUCAAUGCUUCUAUAGUUUCCUUAUAACUUAGUUCUUUAUGUUUUUAUUUGGAAUGAUGAUGAAUAGUUAUGUUCUGAAUCACAUUUGACUGGGAUGGGGUCUUGCAGGAGGAGUUUGAUGAGCAUGCUGAAAAAGCCAAGACUCUUCCAGAGUCAACAACCAAUGAGAACAAGCUCAUCCUCUAUGGGCUGUACAAGCAAGCCACUGUUGGUGCAGUGAACACCAGCCGCCCGGGAAUAUUCAAUAUGAGGGACAGAGCAAAGUGGGAUGCAUGGAAGGCUGUUGAAGG